ACCUACAGCUCAGUUGGCAGCGCAUGAGACUCUUAAUCUCGGGGUUGUGGGUUCGAAUCCUGCAUUGGGUG
Molecule: non-coding RNA, 71 nt
Organism: Podarcis lilfordi (Lilford's wall lizard)
Lineage: Eukaryota; Metazoa; Chordata; Lepidosauria; Squamata; Lacertidae
Source: the annotation of a GenBank genome assembly